GUCAUGCGGGUGCACCACCUGAGCACCUGGGAGGUUAGUUUGCAUCAAGGGGGUAUCUGAAAGCCCCGCUACGCAGGCGCACAGGUCUGCCCCUGCCCUUCCCCCUCUCCCUUAGGGCUUCUGUCCUACGGGAUUAGGAAUAGCUGCUGCAGGGACACGAUACCAAACCACCAAAAGAACACCAAGCCUGAGCCCAAUGCCCCCUUUACCUCCUGCCGAUGCGGGGCAGGUGCAGAGGCCACAGCAGCCCAGAGCGCGCUCUCCACGAGGUCGCAUGCCCAGGCCGGUGCCUCCAUCGGAGAAGGCGGUCACGGAGCAUCCUGGAGCGCCUCGAUGUUCUAAGCCUUCUCGGGAGCACACGUGUAAGGGCCGACUCCAUUCUCCUGGCGACUGAGGUACAGCACCGCCAUCCCCCUGUCUCACACUAAGGAACCUGCACUUAGGGAACUGAUGGGACAGGGAUGUAGAAGACAAAGCAGCAGCUACUUGCUUGGGUACCAGAAGCAGGAUGGGGCCUGAUGUCGCUGCCUCACUCUGGCUACAGGUGCAGAUAUCUUCCUAGAGUCUUCAGUCUUUCUCUUGAGCCACCUUGGGUGACGGUCAAUGUGGAUUAUGAACUUGGCAGGGUCUAGAGAUAGCGGGGUGACAAGCCUCUGGACAUCCUUUGGCAGCAUUUCUAGUAGGAAGACCCCCCCUUAGCUGUGAGGAGCACUGUUCCAUGAGCUCGGGUCCUGGACUGAGGACAGAGGAGAAGAGCUCUGCAGCUGUACCCAUCGCCCCCUGCAUUCUGACAGAAGCAACGUGACCUCUGACCUCUGGCUGCUGACACGGGAACUUCCCCACCUGAGAGGGAUGACACCCUCAGCUGAGAGCCAAAAUAAACCCUUUUCUUCAUUAAGUUGCCUUUCCUCAGGUGUUUUGUUACAACUGCAAUAAAAGGUAACCAAUGCAACUGCAAUUCCAGGCUAGCAGCAGCUCACAGACAGGCCCAGCACCCAGGGUGGGUGAGACCACGCCAGGAGCAGCAGCCGUCAUCUUCAGAGAAACACCCUGUCCCCUCAAAGGUGAAGAGUUCUGAAGACCACCUUGUGAACUCAAGUCCGCACUAGACCACAAGACCGGGACUCCUUAAUUGUGCAUACCUCGUGUCCCUCUCUAACUCUUACUGUUUAUACCUAAAGCUCAUGCCUGUGCGCCAAGGACAGAUAAGGGUCACUGGACCCAUUACCUCCGCCACUGUUAUUCGUCUCUUUAUGGGCGGUUUGAGGUGGGGGGCUGAAUCUAGCUUGUUGGGAUACAAGAGCCUGGCUUUUUUUUCUUUGAA
Apodemus sylvaticus (European woodmouse) is the source of this 1324-nucleotide long non-coding RNA. RefSeq lists it as uncharacterized. NCBI's taxonomy places the organism in Eukaryota, Metazoa, Chordata, Mammalia, Rodentia, Muridae. The record is from RefSeq and is a predicted model, not a curated record. The transcript is spliced from 2 exons.